ACUGGCCACCGCCACCGCUGAUUCUCGGCGACCCGUUGGGGGCGCCGACGACGCCGCCGCCACCGUGAAUGCGAGAACGGUGAAUCGGACCGCAGCGAUGCGCGGGACAACUUCGAAAUUUCCCUCGGGAAUUCGCAAUCGAGCUUAUUAAAUUCUUCUACCUGGUCUGCCUCGCUCGCCUUUGUCACCUUGUCUUCCAGGUAAACCAAUGCCGUCGAUACCAGGUGGCCCUGUUAUAAAAAAAAUGUUAUAACAGAGGACCUAUCGGACCAGGUGGACCUUCUGAACCGACUCCCUCGAGACCUUUAUCCCCUUUUUCUCCACGUUCUCCAGAUGGCCCCUGUGGUCCAAUGGGACCCUGUGGACCCGGUAAACCGACGAAUCCACGUUCUCCCGGCAAACCAGGUAAGUGAUAAGCGUAAAGGAUUGGUAACCCUGACUGGAUCAUAUACCUGGACGACCUUGAGGACCAGGUAAUCCAGGACGGCCCGGACGAUUUCGACCGGGCGGACCAGGUGGGCCCUGC
Camponotus floridanus (Florida carpenter ant) is the source of this 526-nucleotide long non-coding RNA. RefSeq lists it as uncharacterized. The record is from RefSeq and is a predicted model, not a curated record. The transcript has 4 exons. NCBI's taxonomy places the organism in Eukaryota, Metazoa, Arthropoda, Insecta, Hymenoptera, Formicidae.